Molecule: non-coding RNA, 1761 nt
Organism: Solanum lycopersicum (tomato)
Lineage: Eukaryota; Viridiplantae; Streptophyta; Magnoliopsida; Solanales; Solanaceae
Source: RefSeq, a predicted model, not a curated record
UUAUUUGAAGUUAUUUGUGUAUUUUGGUUGUCUAGUCCUCUUGUUCUUUCACUUGCAACUUCUGUUUCUUCUUUCUAUGAAGUAUUUGAUCAUUGGGUGAUGGUGUUUUCCCUCCUUUAUUUGUACUAAUUGGCAAAGGGCUUCAGUUGGUAGGUACAGCCAAGAUUGCUAAGUUCACACAUGUUUUCACAAUUUUUCUUAUGUUCAAGAUGCAAAGCCCUACUCAAUAGAUUGGAUAGUGAUCAAAGAGGAGACAACUCUUAUAAAGAGAGUAAUAUGUCAAAACAGUACAGCUAACAACAAAAAAGAACCACAGUUGUUGCUUGCGUUUGUAAGACAUCAUAUCCUAGCUCAAGCCACGAUUGACUUGUCAAGAGUUAGUUUUCUUGAGGCAGGAAGUUGUAGAGUUCACAUAGUGCAAUGAAUUACCAGAUGAUUUCUGUUGAUGUUUUUCUUCAUGCAACAAUAACCUGAAAGUGGAGAAGUUAUUUUCUUAAUUUUUCAUAUAAUUAAGACUAAUCAAAUUUUUAAUUGAAGAACAAAGGUUCGUAUAUCUCUAGUAAAAGCAAGGUUUGUUCUGGAAAGAGUUACUUUAUACAAAGUUAAAAUUUGGGAAAAGGUAUAGUGGAAACAAUCCUUUCUUUUCCAACACAGGUCUUCACUAUCAAUAAUGUUGUUACUAUCUUCAAAGUUGAUAUGGUUAAAGAAACUAUUACAUUUUCUAAUUUUCAAGGUCAUUAUCAAGUCGUAUCAGUUACAUUAUAUUGACAGUCGAGGGUGGUAUAUAUUGAAGAUAAUUUUUCUCAUAGUCAAGUAAUUUGAAGCUCAUUUUAUGGGUCUCUUAUGUGUGGAAGAAUGAUGCAGCACUCUGAAAUCAUGUAAUGUGAUCUUCAGAAGUUGGUAAAUUGUUUGCUUACAGUGUACAUUAUCUUCAGAGUUGAUGGGUUAGAGUUCAAAUCUUCUUUCGAUUUAAUUAGAGUGAGUAAGCUUAGUUUCCAGGUUUUAUUUGACACUUUCUUGUCCUGGCAAUCACGUAGUAGCAGUUCUAGUAGUUGCUCGAGUGUACUGAAGUCUCUGGAGUAGAUGGCAUAUACUGUUGUCUCUACUUUGUUUGUUGCACAUCUCCACAUCAUAUGAGCUUCUGGGACUUACAGCGACUAGAACUUGACUAGUUAAUCUGAAGAACGAAAUUCUCCAACUUGAUCUCUACAGAUUAGUAGAGCAGCAGUUGAAGUCUUAUACAGUGAGAGAGUUAAAGUAAGUGGAGAUGGAAAUCUGAGAGUUUGUGCCAAACAGAGGUGCACUUUCUACAUACAAACAAUAUUCUAAAGCAGCAAUAGAAGUCUUGUAUGGUGAGAGAGCAAAAGUGCAUGGAGAUGUAAAUGAAAUCAAAUGGAGGUGAUAGUCACUUAAGGUCGAGGAUGCCGGGUUCCAUUGAUACUUAUUUUAGAGGAAGUAGGGGAGAAAGCCUUCAUGUUGAGACAAAAAUUCUUGACGAGGAUUCAAUUACUUGUGGCCUUCCAUGGGUCUUAUGCCAUAAAAGUAAUAAAUUAAAAUAAAUUCUUUAGGUAAAAUCAGAGAAAUAAGUUUAUAUGUAUCAGUAUAUGUAGUCAAAGGCAGCUCGGGAAAGCGUUUAAUGCCCUCUGAUAUGUAGUUUAUUCUUGUCAUGCCAUUAGUGAAUUAUGGUUUAUUAUUUUUCAGAGUUCCAAAGGCAGUUUGAACUGAACAGUUAAUUGGCAUGUUAAAAAGGUAUUUUUUUCA